Molecule: long non-coding RNA, 815 nt
Filed under: Lynx canadensis (Canada lynx)
Lineage: Eukaryota; Metazoa; Chordata; Mammalia; Carnivora; Felidae
Description: lncRNA (ENSLCNG00005003354.1)
Source: RNAcentral
ACCGGUUGCGAACCCACAGCGCCGCGGAGGGAACGCCUGCGCCUCGGCCGGACACUAAGAGUUAAGAUGUGGCGGAGGGGGUGGCGGGGGAGGGGCGGAGAGGAGAAAGUGGCGAGGGGGAGGGAGGCGGGGGGGGGGGGGGGGGGGGGGCGACAGAUUUCCAGCUUCUACGACGCUCUGCCUAAAUUAAAAAGCAACCAAUCGGAACGGCCGGAAGGGGGGCCGCGCGUCCUGAGCCAGUCAUUCCGGGCCUGCCAAUCACCCAGCGGGUAGCCAAUCAGCGGGGGCCCUGGUGCUCGACUUCCUUGUAUUUGGGAAAGUGUGGUGGUGGGUGCGCGCUCGCGGCGGAGGGUAAACAUUCGACAGUCCCUGCUCUGAGAGGGAGGGACAGAGAGCGAACUGUCAGAUCCCUGCGAGAGCGGGCGGGCGAGCGAGGGAGAGGGAGUGAGAGAGAGAGAGAGAGAGAGGGAGGGAGAGGGAAAGUGAGAGAGGGAGAGAGCGCGAACGAGGGCGCAGAGCGAGCUCCCGCUGCAACUCCGCUCCGGCUCGGCCAGCGCCAGCGCCGUCGGUGCACUCUACGAGCCGUGCAACGUGCCCACUGGAGUUGGUUGUGUAUCAAGGAUCCCCUAUAUGCACACACACACCUCCACCUCCACCAAUGCACUCUUCUUCCUCCUCCUCCUCCAGACAACUGCUGGGAAAAAAAUAAAACACCAACCCCAACCGUCAGCAACAAGAUAAAGAGAUUUAGAAGGACUGAGCACCAGCCGCUGCACUCCUCUGGACUUCUCUCCUCAAUCCGUUGCCAACUUUGA